RNAcentral lists this ribosomal RNA (468 nucleotides) under uncultured bacterium. RNAcentral describes it as "partial 16S ribosomal RNA". It matches the Rfam family "Bacterial small subunit ribosomal RNA", at positions 28 to 507 of the family's 1533-position model. The record is from RNAcentral.
GACGAACGCUGGCGGCGUGCUUAACACAUGCAAGUCGAACGGAAAGGCCCUGCUUUUGUGGGGUGCUCGAGUGGCGAACGGGUGAGUAACACGUGAGUAACCUGCCCUUGACUUUGGGAUAACUUCAGGAAACUGGGGCUAAUACCGGAUAGGAGCUCCUGCUGCAUGGUGGGGGUUGGAAAGUUUCGGCGGUUGGGGAUGGACUCGCGGCUUAUCAGCUUGUUGGUGGGGUAGUGGCUUACCAAGGCUUUGACGGGUAGCCGGCCUGAGAGGGGGACCGGCCACAUUGGGACUGAGAUACGGCCCAGACGCCUACGGGAGGCAGCAGUGGGGAGUAUUGCACAAUGGGCGGAAGCCUGAUGCAGCGACGCCGCGUGCGGGAUGACGGCCUUCGGGUUGUAAACCGCUUUCGCCUGUGACGAAGCGUGAGUGACGGUAAUGGGUAAAGAAGCACCGGCUAACUACGUG